AUCUGUGGAUUUUGUUAAAAUGCAGAUUCUGAUUCAGCAGGUGCAUGGUGGCUCUGAGAUUCUGCACUUCUAACCAGUUCUCAGGAGAUGCUCCU
RNAcentral lists this microRNA precursor (95 nucleotides) under Vicugna pacos (alpaca). RNAcentral describes it as "miRNA (ENSVPAG00000017526.1)". Lineage: Eukaryota; Metazoa; Chordata; Mammalia; Artiodactyla; Camelidae. The record is from RNAcentral.